RNAcentral lists this ribosomal RNA (432 nucleotides) under uncultured bacterium. RNAcentral's name for it is "partial 16S ribosomal RNA". It matches the Rfam family "Bacterial small subunit ribosomal RNA", at positions 29 to 507 of the family's 1533-position model. The record is from RNAcentral.
AACGAACGCUGGCGGCAGGCCUACAACUUGAAAUUCAAGGGGGCCCUUCGGGGUGGGGGCCGGCGGGGGAGUAACGGGGGGGAAACUUGCCCUUUUCUCGGGAUUGGCCUGGGGAAACGAGAAGAAUUACCUAAUAGGCCCUUGGGGGAAAGAUUUAUCGGAAAAGGAUCGGCCCGCGUUGGAUUAGGUAGUUGGUGGGGUAAUGGCCUACCAAGCCGACGAUCCAUAGCUGGUUUGAGAGGAUGAUCAGCCACACUGGGACUGAGAAACGGCCCAGACUCCUACGGGAGGCAGCAGUGGGGAAUCUUAGACAAUGGGGGCAACCCUGAUCUAGCCAUGCCGCGUGAGUGAUGAAGGCCUUAGGGUUGUAAAGCUCUUUCAGCUGGGAAGAUAAUGACGGUACCAGCAGAAGAAGCCCCGGCUAACUCCGUG